UGUUUUUCUGGCUGAUUAGGGAGCCAGCUCACAUAGCGUCCGCGGUUCUACAUUUAGAAUUGUGUCUUCAUUCACAUUCUUUCCACGCAGCUCACGGCUCCUGGACUGGAAGAGAGUGGUUACUUUUGCCUGGGCCCGUCCCCUGGGAAGACGCCAGCUCACCUCGAGCUCCUGGUCCAGAGUUUGGGCCAAGUUCUCUGGCUGUGCUCUGGGCUGGGGUGGUCCACACCAGUGUGCCCACCAUGACCCGAACCAGAUGUGGAAUCCAUGGCCCAGGGCAGGCAGCCACUUGAAGCAAACACCGCCAGGUCCCGCCACACUGCAAACCUCACCGCUUCUAAGACUCCAAACCAGACAUGCGGUCAUGCUGUCCACCUGGGAAGAAUUAAAAAUGGGGCAAUGAUAACAGUGAAUGCAAGCAUGAGAAGAAGUUUUAAAACUACAGACCCUAAAACCCAGCGAGGCAGGCACCUGCAGUCCCCACUGCCAUAACAGUCACCUGAAGUCAACCACGGUCUGGAAGCAUGUAUGGUCCUUCUUUCUGACAUACAGUCAGAAGGUCAGUAAUAGCCUAACCCUACUUCACGGUGCCCACGUCAUUCACUCCCGCCAUCUCCUCACAUAGACAUUUUAUCAUCUCACAUCAUCACGAGAAAGGUAAGUACAGUACAGUCAGAUUUUGAGAGAGAGAGACCACAUUCACAUAACUUCUAUUAUAGUAUAUUGUGAUAAUUGUUCUAUUUACUAUUGUAUACUAUCGUAUUGUUGUUAAUCUCUUCCUGCAUCUGAUUUAUAAAGUAAGCUUUAUCAUAGGUUAAACAUAGUGUGGACAGGGUUCGAUACUACCACCCACAGUUUUCAGCCAUCCACUGGGGGUCUUGGAAUGUAUCCCUCAUGGAUAAGGGGAAACUACUGUAUUUUCUGAAUACUCCAAAUAUCAGUGGACAUCUUUUAUUAGUGUGUGGAAUUACGACACAACCCAAAAUCAAUUAGAGUUCUUUGGCCAUGCACAACAGAAACAGAAACUGGGCAAAUUCAGCUGAAAUAGAUGAGUAUUAAAAGGAAAAUGGAGCCCUUGCAGACUCCAGGUGAAUGGUGAAGUCCCAGCCUGGGCAAGAGUGAGCAGACAGCUCUGCCACUGGAAAGAACGUUCGAGCACAUUUCCAUCCUGGCAUCACUUUAGAAGAAACAGUACAAAGGGCCUGGCCUGGGUCUCACGUCUGCUCUGGACCCGGGGAGAUCUCGGCAGGCACCUUGAACUUUCAACCCCACCAAGACUAACCACAGCGGAGACAGGAAAUUGCCCCAAAGUUAUCAAGUGCUUUUACUCAGAGGAGAUGGAUGGAAGCUGAGCGUUCAAAAAAUAACAAAUAUCUGCUAAUGGGGGUGGUAUUUAAUUGGCUGGGAGUUGCUUACUUUAAGACUCUAAAUUUAAAUCUCUACUGUCCUAUUUUCACGUAAAUGUGGAAGUAUGGAAACCCCAGUAUUACCAUUACGGAGCACAGCCAUUGCCAAGACCAAGACCCCAGUAUUCAGGAUGCCGGAAGCCUCCCUGACUGUAUUGGCAGGACCUCAAGAUCCAGAAAACUUGACCCACCUUGGUCGAAGCCACUAAAGUCCCCCGCCCCACCCCAAUCACACAAAUCCAGAGCAGGUAGUUCUGGCACAGACUCACCACUCAGCCAUGUCAUUGAUGACCCAGGACUGUCCUGCCCACCAGGUUGUCCUCAGCAUAUUGGUCUUUAAUUGUCAUUGCUCGUUCCUCAAGAUUGCAGACUGAAGGCCUUGGUGUUGUGAGCUGAGUUGUAUUCCCCAAAUUUUCACAUGUUGAAGUCCUAACCCCCAGGACCUCAGAAUGAGAUCUUACUUGGAAAUAGGGUCAUGACAGCUGUAAUUAGUUAAGAUGAGAUCAUUAGGGUGGGCUCUAAUCCUAAAGGAUUGAUGCUUUUAUAAAAAGGGGAAGUUUGGACAGAGAGAAACACAGGAAAGACAGUGAGAAGACACAGAAGAUGGGCAUCUACAAACCAAGAAGAACGGCUUGGAACAGACCCUUUCCUUGCAGCCUGCAAAAGGACUUAACCCGACUGACACCUCGAUCUGGGACUUCCAGCCUCUAGCACCAGGAGAUACUUUCUGUUGUGUAAGCCAGCACUUUGUGGUACUCGUUGUGUCAGCUCUAGCAAACAAACACACUCCAUUCCAGGAUUUGUGUCCCCGAGCGAAGCAGGAAGAGAGGGCGUCAACAGGAUGGAGACCACAGGGAUUGUUCCUUUGAUCAGAAAGGCCAGAACUUUCCCUGACAUCCAAAUGCUCCCACCCCUGUGACCAGAGGCGUGCCGCCUAGAAGGGGAAGCCUGUGAGGAAGGGAGUGAGGCUGGACAGCCAGCAGGGCCCGAGGGCUGAGGCAGAUGUCCUCUGCCCCCUAAAAGGCCUGUAAUAUGCUUUCUGGGAGAAGCAGCCCUGAUUUUCAAGGCAGGGCUGAGGAGCACGUCAUUAGAGGCUUUUGCAGAGUGCAUUGGGGAUUUGCUAAAAUUUGUGGUCCUUCCUCUCUCCAGCACAGCCCGCUCAGUUCUCCCAUUCAUAAAACCAGGUCUGCCUGCCAAUGAGUCAACAGUGGAAACCCACCGGAGGGCUGUGGUCGAGACACAGGAAACAAAAAGCCCCAAAGAAGGCUGGCCUCCAGGACUGAAACACAAUGCUGCUGGCCCAGCAGCCUCAGGCCUGGGCAUGACACCUCGUGCACUGUCCCCCAUGUGGGGCCAGGACAGGACAGGGACACAAGGUGUGCAGGCCCUACCUCCCUGAUGGAAGCAUCUUCAUGUUCCGUCCCCUAAAGCCCUGGCAGUGUUAUCCCUCCGACCAGCCAGCCAAGGAGGGAAGAAUUCAGCCUUGCCAGCUUCUACUGCCGAUGGGAAGGAAGCCACUGUGUGACAGUGUCAUCUGUCAGCUGACGACUCAGAGCACCCUGCCAGAUGUUCACCAUCCCAAAUGCCCAGCACUUGGGCCCAUGCUAGGGUCUACACUUGCUACUUUAGCUGACUUGUCAUGUGCUCCUUGACUUUUCUCCUGCCUGGGCCAGGCGUGUUCCAGGCAGCGUAAGUAUGUACCUCGGGAGAAGUGGCCAGGGUCCCCAGCAGAAGCAGCAUCUCAGACAGGACCCAGAAGGAAAUGCAAGGUACAGCCCCACACCCAUUAGGAUGGCUACUACAAAAAAAAGAGAGAGAGAGAGAGAGAGAGAGAGAGACAGAAACUAACAAGUGCUGGCAAGGAUGUGAUGACACAGGAAUACUAUUCAGCCUUAAAAAGGCGGGGAAACAGGAUGGAAAUGGAUGAUCCUUGAGGACAUUCUGCUAAGUGAAUCAGCCAGCCAUAAAAAACAAAAUACGGUGUGAUUCCACUCGUAUAAGGUGCCUAGAGUAAUCGAAUUCAUAGAAACAGAAAAUAGUGGCUUCCAGGGCUGAGGUCGGCAGUAGAGGGGAGUGGGGAGUGGAGUUGGCAUUUAACAGGUACAGAGUUUCAGUCUGGGAUGUUGUAAAAAGUUCUGGAGAGGAAUGGUGGUUGCACCAGUAUGAAUGUACUUAAUACUACUGUGCACUUAGAGUGCUUACGUUGGUAAAUUUUAUGUCCUGUAUAUUUCACCACAAUUUUUUUUUAAAAAAAGA
Molecule: long non-coding RNA, 3662 nt
Organism: Panthera uncia (snow leopard)
Lineage: Eukaryota; Metazoa; Chordata; Mammalia; Carnivora; Felidae
Exons: 4
Source: RefSeq, a predicted model, not a curated record